RNAcentral lists this non-coding RNA (24 nucleotides) under Rattus norvegicus (Norway rat). The record is from RNAcentral. Lineage: Eukaryota; Metazoa; Chordata; Mammalia; Rodentia; Muridae.
UCCUACAAGGGCUAAGCAGAUCCG